UCAAUCGACGGCGAAGCGGAAGCGGAAGCGGAGCUACCUCGCACGAAAUAGGCGGAUUGAUUACAGGGGAAGGAAACAACUUUCAAUUUUGAACUCGUUUCCGGCUGCUUUACACGUUGUUCGUGAAGAAGAUUGAUAUAUAACAAGAAUUAUAAAAUUCUGAAGAGUCUGCUCGGAUUUGAACAGUCUGACAUUUACUACAAUAACAGAAUACUUAUGUUUUUUUCAUUUGCUUGUUGGAUGUUUUAUGGAAUAUUGUUUCUGUUUUUCAAACGCGUAGCUUUCUAACCCUGCAACUCUGCUACUAGAUCAGUAAGAUGCAGCUAGUGAGUUUCAAAUUCUCAGUGAAUGGAUGAUAUAAUUGCGAGUUUGUGUUAACUAUAGAAUCAAACUUCUAUCUUAAAAGGAUUAAAGUAAUUUUUUUCCUGUCUAUCUUAUUUGCAUUUUAAGCUGAUUAUGUAGUAUUCAUGACUCAUGAGUUUUCCUACCUGUAUUACAUCUAAAUCAGUGUAAUUCAUCAGUCCUUGUUCCUCAAUCUUCUUUAUAAGAAAGCAUUCUUAAUGGAACAAUAGUAGCAGUUCAAGAUUUUGGAUUUGUUGCAGGCACGUAAAAGAUGGUCUGCUAACAAUAGGUGAACUACCAGACCUAUUUCCAUCAAUAUGAUCACAAUCAUUAAUCGUAUCCUAGCUUCUGGUGGUCAAACUUAUGAAUGAUCCUUUAUUAAGUUUUUCUUAUUGUGGGAUUAAAUCCAACUUGUGUAAACUGCACAACUUCACUUUAUCUUGCAUUUUUGUUAACCAUGCUUCUUAUUCCUUCCAUAUGCACCUGCCAUGUUUGAACAUCUUCAGCUCUCCAAUAUUUAAUUUAUUUAACUUUUAUAUAAUAUCAAGCUGGGUGCCAGCUUCUUUGAUGCUGAUUUAACUGGUGCUGAUCUUUUUGACGCUGAUCUUAGAGGUGCAGAUUUAUCCUUGGCAAAUUUUACUAAGGCAAAUCUAAGUAAUGCAAACCUUGAAGGUGCACUUGCUACUGGAAAUACGUCUUUUAAAGGCAAAUCUAAGUAAUGCAAACCUUGAAGGUGCACUUGCUAAGUAAUGCAAACCUUGAAGGUGACUUCACUGAUGUUCCAUUGAGAGAUGACCAACGAGAUUACCUAUGCAAAGUUGCUGAUGGGGUGAAUCCAGUGACUGGGAAUGCAACGAGAGACUCCUUACUUUGCAAUUGAUACAGGCUCUUCUCCUCUGUUGUACGUAUUGUUGAACCUUUGGCUAGUUUCUAUUUUUCAAUGUUUAACUAUGUAACAAGGAAAUGCUAAAUAGAUAAUUUUUGAGUUGGUUGUUUGUCAAAGAAAAAAAAAGCUUGCAAUUUAUAAAUUUGCUUUUUCAAGGUGUUAGUAUCUUCAAGCUCAUCUAAAGUGGCCUAUUCUGGACAAAUUUUUUGGAUAAUUAUAUGGUCAAAAACCCAUAUGCGUGUUGUUUUCUCAAUGCAUUGGCAUUAAUACUUUAUAUUUGUCCAUCUAAUUUGAAUGUAAAUAAGCAUGACGUUAUUUGAUUUGUUGUUUUUUUAAUGUCAAGUAAAUUUUUAUUGCAUUUACUUAUAAUUUCAGAUAGAUUUAUUAUGUAUGCAUUCACCUGUAAUUUUGAAAUAAUGCUAAUUUUAUUUGAGAAUAGUUUUACAAGGCUUUGCUAGUAUGAAAAUGACUAGUGUUUAGUUAUUAAGCAUGCUGGAAACAAUUCCUACCAACAAUCUGUCACAUUAGUCUAUAAUCUAGUUUGUGGACUUGUGUAUGUAUAAGGUUAUUAUGUUAGUCGUACUCCAGUUUUUCAUUUUAUAUAGGUUGUUGUUGUUAUUGUGAAUAGUUUCAGUAAAGAUAUUAUAAGCAGGCUGUUUCAUAUUUCCUAAUCAAAUCUUCCAUUUUGGUCAAAAUCUGGUUAUGAAGAAAACCAUCAUGAAAGAGAACUGAGGGACUAAUGGUACAUUCAUUAUGGCCUAUGCUCCCACGGUUCUUCCCCUUGCACAAAUUUCUUUAUUAGAUUCUAAUGACAUGUAUUCAUAGCUAUUUCUACAAGUUGCAAAAGAUGAGCAUAAGCGUAUCCUCACGGUAAGCUGCAGAAAAUGGCAUAGAGCUGCAGGCUUGCUAUCGAUCGACAAACAUGGACGGUAUGAUAUUUUUCAUCAAAAUAUACAAAAGCAGUUUUUCAUACAUAUUAAAUUUAUUACAAAACUCUUAUUAAAAGGACAAUUAAAAUGCACUUAAAAAAUGUCAAUUUGAAUGUGGUUCAUCUUUAAUCUGCUUGAUAUAUUUCAAUGCUUCAGCAUAAUUAAUAGCUAUAACAAGUGUUUAACAACAGGAAUUUGUGAAUGUAACAACUAUUGUGGUGCUCAAUAAGCUUGAGGAUUCGCAUCUUAUCUUGUGAUCAAGUGAAGAUAGCUUUCUCAUGUACCAAAAUAUCUUAUGCUUAUUUCCAUUGCUCCAGGAUUCUAGUGAGUUAAAUAAGAUGUUUCAUGCGAUCACAGUCCUUUGCCAUGCAUGUUUUUUCUAUUUAUGGUGUAGUAGGUUUUUUAUUUAUUUUAUUUUAUUAAUUUAUUAUUUGAGGAUAUUGGCCAUAAUCUCUAUUUAUGGCAGAAAAUCAAGGGCCCCUCUUGGCUAUCAAUUUCAAGAUUUGUCAACAGUGCAGCUUCUGAACAAGUGCUAUAAUAUUUCUCUCAUUUGAAAGACCUGCGGUCAUUUUAUGGUUCCAUAUGGCUCCAUCUCCUUCACCCUCACCGAUUUUGCCGGCGAUUGUGUGUUGUAUGUGCGGCGAUCUCAGGCUUCCGGAACAGCUCUUUAGAUGCAAGUCGUGUAUCUUUAAAUCGCAACACAAGACAAGGGCAAGGCAGUUAGAAAUGAGGUUGAACCAAAGGAUAGAAGUGGUGGAAGAGAUACCAUUUUGUUAAAAAUCUGGAUUCACUGCUUAUUUCCUCAGUGCAGGUUGGAGUGCAUGACAAUGAUGUGGAAAUAGAGAUCCCAAGACUUAGUUGUUAUUGUGUAAAGAAAUUGCCCUCAUGAUAAGGGCUAUUUUUUUUAUUUUCAUGUAAUGUUUUGUGAAGACAUUUAUUGUAAUAGAUUGAUUAUGUACAUAUAUGCAUAUUAAAGUCAAAUUUAUGUUGUAUUUAACGUGGGAAAUUGUUGUAAUUUUAUAUUUCUGAAAUAAUUUUUUAUUCAAAGAAAAUAUUUAUGUAA
Dendrobium catenatum is the source of this 3220-nucleotide long non-coding RNA. RefSeq lists it as uncharacterized. The record is from RefSeq and is a predicted model, not a curated record. The transcript has 5 exons. Lineage: Eukaryota; Viridiplantae; Streptophyta; Magnoliopsida; Asparagales; Orchidaceae.